This 72-nucleotide transfer RNA is filed under the name Microbacterium sp. 4R-513. RNAcentral describes it as "tRNA-OTHER". The record is from RNAcentral. Lineage: Bacteria; Bacillati; Actinomycetota; Actinomycetes; Micrococcales; Microbacteriaceae.
GGAUGGCUGAAUCUACCCUGCUAAGGUGGAAUCCCCUUACGGGGACCGAGGGUUCAAAUCCCUCCGUCUCCG